RNAcentral lists this ribosomal RNA (1444 nucleotides) under uncultured Bordetella sp. Its description in RNAcentral is "partial 16S-23S ribosomal RNA intergenic spacer". It matches the Rfam family "Bacterial small subunit ribosomal RNA". The record is from RNAcentral. Lineage: Bacteria; Pseudomonadati; Pseudomonadota; Betaproteobacteria; Burkholderiales; Alcaligenaceae.
AGUUCGAUCAUGGCUCAGAUUGAACGCUGGCGGGAUGCUUUUACACAUGCAAGUCGAACGGCAGCACGGACUUCGGUCUGGUGGCGAGUGGCGAACAGGUGAGUAAUGUAUGGAACGUGCCGGGUAGCAGGGGAUAACUACGCAGAAAGCGUAGCUAAUACCACAUACGCCCCUUCGGGGAAAGCAGGGGACCUUCGGGCCUCGCACUAUUAGAGCGGCCGAUAUCGGAUUAGCUAGUUGGUGGGGUAACGGCUCGCAAGGCGACGUCCGUAGCUGGUUUGAGAGGACGACCACACUGGGACUGAGACACGACCCAGACUCCACCACGGGAGGCAGCAGUGAAAUUUUGGACAAUGGGGAAACCCUGAUCCAGCCAUCCCGCGUGUGCGAUGAAGGCCUUCAGGUUGUAAAGCACUUUUGGCAGGAAAAGCAGCUGGAUAAUACCCCGUGCAACUGACGGUACCUGCAGAAUAAGCACCAGUAACUACGUGCCAGCAGCCGCGGUAAUACGUAAGUGCAAGCGUUAAUCGAUUACUGGGCGUAAAGCGCGCGGGCGGUUUCGGAAGAAAGAUGUUGAAAUCCACAGGCUUAACUGGAACUGCAUUUUUAACUACCGAGCUAGAGUGUGUCAGAGAGGUGGAAUUCCGUGUAGCAGUGAAAUGCGUGAAUAUGCGGGAGGAACACCGAUGGCGAAGGCAGCCUCCUGGGAUAACACUGACGCUCAUGCACGAAAGCGUGGGGGGCAGAGCAGGAUUAGAAUGCCCUGGUAGUCCACGCCUAAACGUGUCUGUUGGGGCCUUCGGGCCUUGUUAGCGCAGCUAACGCGUGAAGUUGACCGCCUGGGGAAUACGGUCGCAAGAUUAAAACUCAAAGGAAUUGACGGGACCCGCACAAGCGGUGUGGAUAAGUGUGGUUAAUUCCGAUGCAACGCGAAAAACCUUACCUACCUUGACAUGUCUGGAAUCCCGAAGAGAUUUGGGAGUGCUCGCAAGAGAACCGGAACACAGGUGCUGCAUGGCUGUCGUCAGCUCGUGUCGUGAGAUGUUGGGUUAAGUCCCGCAACAGCGCAACCACCGACAAUAGUUGCUACGAAAGGGGCACUCUAAUGGAACACAGUGACAAACCAGGAGGAAGGUGGGGAUGACGUCAAGUCCUCAGCCCUUAUGGGUAGAGGCUACGUCAUACAAUGGUCAGGGCGGGGUCAUAUGUACGGAAGACCAAUCAGAAACCCGAUCGUAGUCCGGAUCGCAGUCUGCAACUCGACUGCGUGAAGUCAGAAUCAUAGUAAUCGCGGAUCAGCAUGUCGCGGUGAAUACGUUCCCGGGUCUUGUACACACCGCCCGUCACACCAUGGGAGUGGGUUUUACCAGAAGUAGUUAGCCUAACCGUAAGGAGGGCGAUUACCACGGUGAUUCAUGACUGGGGUGAAGUCGUAACAAGGUAG